UUCCCCAUUUGACUGCCACAUUUUCUCCUAACAGAAUUUAGUGGCUACGCUUGUAGGAUAGGUUAAAGGUGCCAUGAUAUGAACUGAAGAGGGAGGGUUUUUCAAUGUCCAUUAACUAGCUGAACAGAAAUAU
Molecule: small nucleolar RNA, 133 nt
Organism: Jaculus jaculus (lesser Egyptian jerboa)
Lineage: Eukaryota; Metazoa; Chordata; Mammalia; Rodentia; Dipodidae
Source: Ensembl